Molecule: long non-coding RNA, 591 nt
Organism: Solanum tuberosum (potato)
Lineage: Eukaryota; Viridiplantae; Streptophyta; Magnoliopsida; Solanales; Solanaceae
Exons: 3
Source: RefSeq, a predicted model, not a curated record
CCUACCUGCAGCUCCCAUUGCUAGUGUAAGCUUCAUCCUCCAUAACCAUCGCCAUGAACCGAAAACGACUAAAUUGGUACGUCAAGCUUUGGGUGUAUUUCAUAUCAGACGUUAACAAGUCUCACUAACAUCAUGAAAUCAUCCCAAACGAAGACUUCUCCAACUCAACGACAUUUAGUUGAAUGUUCAGUUGUGACAGGUUGAGCUCAAUCAAUGGAGCUAAUACCACUGCCUACAACUUUUGGACAAAUCUACAAUGAUCUUCUUCAGGUUUUUCAGUAAGCAGAUCCACUUGGACCUUCACCCUUGCACAACUUGGAUGCGUCUUAUUUAUUGUUUCCAGGUCUAACUGAAGAGGUUUCCUAACCACAUACGCAAGAGUGAACAAUACUUCCUUCACAAACAAAGUUGGCAAUAAAUCAGGAAAACAGAUCCAAGUCGUAGCCUUCAUCGUCUCUUCACUUGGUUUGAAGUUUGCAUCAUAUAUAAAUGGCCUCAUUUGAUAUGCAAUUCCAUCCUUUGCAAUUACGUAAUAAGAAGUUUUAGACAGUAUCUUAAUAUAAUCCUCCAUACGAUCAAAUCUCAUUAAGA